GAGUUUGAUCCUGGCUCAGGACGAACGCUGGCGGCGCGCCUAACACAUGCAAGUCGAACGAGCGAGAGAGAGCUUGCUUUCUCAAGCGAGUGGCGAACGGGUGAGUAACGCGUGAGGAACCUGCCUCAAAGAGGGGGACAACAGUUGGAAACGACUGCUAAUACCGCAUAAGCCCACAGCUCGGCAUCGAGCAGAGGGAAAAGGAGCAAUCCGCUUUGAGAUGGCCUCGCGUCCGAUUAGCUAGUUGGUGAGGUAAUGGCCCACCAAGGCGACGAUCGGUAGCCGGACUGAGAGGUUGAACGGCCACAUUGGGACUGAGACACGGCCCAGACUCCUACGGGAGGCAGCAGUGGGGAAUAUUGCACAAUGGGGGAAACCCUGAUGCAGCGACGCCGCGUGGAGGAAGAAGGUCUUCGGAUUGUAAACUCCUGUUGUUGAGGAAGAUAAUGACGGUACUCAACAAGGAAGUGACGGCUAACUACGUGCCAGCAGCCGCGGUAAAACGUAGGUCACAAGCGUUGUCCGGAAUUACUGGGUGUAAAGGGAGCGCAGGCGGGAAGACAAGUUGGAAGUGAAAUCUAUGGGCUCAACCCAUAAACUGCUUUCAAAACUGUUUUUCUUGAGUAGUGCAGAGGUAGGCGGAAUUCCCGGUGUAGCGGUGGAAUGCGUAGAUAUCGGGAGGAACACCAGUGGCGAAGGCGGCCUACUGGGCACCAACUGACGCUGAGGCUCGAAAGUGUGGGUAGCAAACAGGAUUAGAUACCCUGGUAGUCCACACCGUAAACGAUGAUUACUAGGUGUUGGAGGAUUGACCCCUUCAGUGCCGCGGUUAACACAAUAAGUAAUCCACCUGGGGAGUACGACCGCAAGGUUGAAACUCAAAGGAAUUGACGGGGGCCCGCACAAGCAGUGGAGUAUGUGGUUUAAUUCGACGCAACGCGAAGAACCUUACCAAGUCUUGACAUCCUGCGACGCACAUAGAAAUAUGUGUUUCCUUCGGGACGCAGAGACAGGUGGUGCAUGGUUGUCGUCAGCUCGUGUCGUGAGAUGUUGGGUUAAGUCCCGCAACGAGCGCAACCCUUACUGUCAGUUACUACGCAAGAGGACUCUGGCAGGACUGCCGUUGACAAAACGGAGGAAGGUGGGGAUGACGUCAAAUCAUCAUGCCCUUUAUGACUUGGGCUACACACGUACCACAAUGGCGUUAAACAAAGAGAAGCAAGACCGCGAGGUGGAGCAAAACUCAGAAGCAACGUCCCAGUUCGGACUGCAGGCUGCAACUCGCCUGCACGAAGUCGGAAUUGCUAGUAAUCGUGGAUCAGCAUGCCACGGUGAAUACGUUCCCGGGCCUUGUACACACCGCCCGUC
RNAcentral lists this ribosomal RNA (1368 nucleotides) under uncultured bacterium. Its description in RNAcentral is "bacterial SSU rRNA". It matches the Rfam family "Bacterial small subunit ribosomal RNA". The record is from RNAcentral.